Molecule: RNA transcript, 3357 nt
Organism: Phyllopteryx taeniolatus (common seadragon)
Lineage: Eukaryota; Metazoa; Chordata; Actinopteri; Syngnathiformes; Syngnathidae
Gene name: ankyrin repeat domain-containing protein 34A
Exons: 3
Source: RefSeq, a predicted model, not a curated record
CAUCUCGGCAGAGGAGAAGUGCGAACAACAUUUGCAGAAAUCGCCCUUUAGUGUACAUUGAAAACGUCUGUGAUCUUUCGAUCGUCAAAAUCCGAACGCUGCAUCCUCUUUUUGGUGCUACUCUCAAACGAAUCAGCCCUCGCGGCUCCUGAUUGGUCAGGGGGCGGGGCUUUUAUUACCUGCAAACAGAAGGCGGUCCACAGUUGCCGUGGUGACGGGUCCAGUUAGCUUGACAUGUGCUAAUGCUAACGCAGCCACGUGACUCCGAGGCAGUCAGCGAAGGGUUAAACUCCUGAGUGAGGAAGAGGAGGAGGAGCAAUGCGUCAGUCGCUCAACGGGCUCCUGAUGAAGAUUCUGCCGCUCGGCGGUAGGGGAAAAAACAUUUGUGUUCGCACGUUCAUGCGCCUGUGUUUGUGUGUGCGUGCGGCAUUUUGAUGACACUCGAACGAAAUGUGGCAGCGUGCGCACGCGUCACAUCUUGUUCUUCCUCUUCACCAUCAUCACCCUCAUCACGUGACACGCACGGCCAAACGUGUCGGUGCGCGUUCAAGCGGUAGCUGCGCUGCAACGUGACGUCAUCAACAUGUCAGAUCAGGCAACAUCUUGAGAAGAACUCCAGGUGGGCCGGGCGGAGGACCAUGGGAGACGGGGGCGACCCCCUGCAGAUCGAGGGCAACGCCCUCCUCAAAGCCGUCUUCCAGGGGAAGCUGAGGCUGAGCCGUCUGCUAUUGGAGGGCGGCGCGUACAUCAAUGAGGGCAACGAGCUGGGCCAAACUCCGGUGUCGGCCGCCUGCCUGGCGGACUACGAGGACCCUCGCACCCGCCUCCGGAUGGUGCGCUACUUGCUGGAGAAGGGCGCCGACCCCAACAUCCCGGACAAGAGCGGCAGGACGGCCCUGAUGCACGCCUGCGCCAAGCGGGCCGGGAAGGAGGCGGUCUCCCUCCUGCUAGAGAACGGAGCCGACCCCAGCCUCAAGGACUACUCUGGAUGCUCCGCCCUCAUGCGUGCCCUCAACAAGGGUGACCGGGAGACCCUGCAGGUUCUGCUGGAUGCCUGCAGGGCCAAAGGCAAGGAGGUUAUCAUCAUCACCACCGACACAUCUCCGUCCGGUACCAAAAAGACAAAGCAGUACCUGAACUCUCCUCCGUCUCCGGGCGUAGAGGACAAGGCGCCGCCCCCAGCCACACCCGUCCCCGCCUGCAUGUCGCCGUCGGAGGUGGAGAUUGUGACCUCGUCUCUGGCGGACGGCGGCAGAGUCCAACAAGACGAGCGAAUCUUCACCUUCUCGCCGGCCUCCGCGUUGCCUUUACCCAAUGGUCGGCCUCAGGGAGAAAAGAGAGCGGCGCCGCCUCCUCCUCGCAAGCUGCUCAAGAGGCUUAACUCGGAGCCUUGGGGCCUGGUGGCGCCCUUGACCUCGAGCGGGCCUCCUCAGGAAACCGUCAGGGGGCGUCUGGAGGAGGUGGAGGGCGUCUGCCAUCUGAGUAAACGAAUCAACGGACUGUGCCUCACCGAGUCCGCCAGACCUCUGUUGUCACGGCGACACAGCAUCGAGACCCACGACCCUUGUUCCCCGAAAGUAACGGACCAGUCCUGCUCCGGGGACCACGUGGUCCUCGCCCCCUCCACCCUGGCGGACAAGGUUCAACACCACCAAAUCCUUCAUUGCAGGAACACGCCGCUGGAGUCCCAGGAGAACGCCGGAACGCAGAUCUCGGCUCAUCGCAAACUCACCCGAACGGAGCACUACGAGGCCGACAACCACGCGGAGCCGGAAUCCGUCCCCGGAUCUCCUGACUCUGGGUGGGUGUCCGUGGAGUGGAGGCGGUACGACACAUCCUCCCUUUCCCUGGUCCCCAACUCUUCUCGGGAUUCUCUGGAGAACAUCCCCAACUCCGUGUCCCCCGUGGCAGUGCGCCAACGGAGCCCCGGACUCCUGGAGCGCCGCGGCUCCGGGACCUUACUUCUGGACCACAUAGCCCACACCAGACCUGGUUUUCUGCCGCCGCUCAAUAUCAACCUCCAGAGACCCAUCCCGGAUAUCCGCUCCAACAGCAAGCCCCCCUCGCCGGUCCAUGGCGCCCACAAGAUCCUGGUUCCCGUGGCCCCAGCUUCCCCCAAACGAGCUCCAGACUUUAAGAGCAAAAAGAAGCUGAUGAGGAGGCACUCUAUGCAGACGGAGCAGAUGAAGCAGCUUUCCACGUUCCAGGAAAUUCUGGCCGAGAAGGUCACAGAGUCCAACGGCGACUGAUAUCUUCAUGGAGGGGCGUCACAGGGGCGGCUCUUUAAAAGGGAUGAUGAGGGCUCGCACGUAACCCGAACAAAACAGCAACUCUCAGCUACAGUAUAUUUAGCUUUGCCGUGUUUGAUCACGUCUCUUUCAUACUUACACACAUUGUAGAUAAAUCUAAAGUACGUAUGUAUAAAGCAGGGGUGCCAAAUUCACACCGAGAGCCGUUAUGACUAUGAAAGCAUAUACUGUAAUUGUCUAACAAUAGCCUCAUAUUCAAAACAAAAAAACAGAAGCUUGUUCAAACUGUGUUUUAAAAGGGGAACUGGUCAAACAAAUGCAAUUCUCAACUUAGUUUGAAGCGAAAGGUAGGCGUGAACGUGAGCGCGAAUGAUUGGCCGUGAUUGGCUGGCGACCAGUUCGGGCUGUACCCCGCCUCUCGCCCGAAGAUAGCUCGGACGGGCUCCAGCAUGCCCGCGACCCGCUACAGAACAUUUGCAAGUUUGGCAUCUGAGCAAGAAGCAGGAUUUGCUUUCGCGGGCCACCUUAAAUGAAGCGCUGGGCCAGAUUUGGCUCUCAGGCCUUGAGUUGGACAACUGUGACAGAAGGUUUCAAGACAUUUGCAUCCAUAUACAUUACACAUACAGUAUUUGAUCAUGUAUGAUAUUAUCAAUAAGAACAUUGUUUACAGGGCUCUCGGGCCAAUCAGAGCGAUGAUGGACGGAGCUUUGGCGUUUCAUAUCUUGCUGAAACAGGAAGCAAGGAGUGAAAGGGGGUGGGGCUCAAGGGGACGGACCGAUGCCAAAUGUUUCUUUUUCAUGAAAUGCUUUUGUGGGCAAACGGAGGAAGUCGCGUGCCGACCGAUUUCGCGAAAAGCUACAAAAAAACAACAACAUUGUUUCCUAUGAGUUUACUUUUGUUGAAAAAUACUUUUCUUCGGCCAGUCUGAUGACUUUUGUUGAAGAUGCACUUUCAUAUUGUCGAUGAGCUUUUAAGAACUUUUUGUUGAGGAGGAAGAUGAGCAAGUUGACGUUGACUUUUGCUUUGCCGAACAUCUUCAUCACCGUGACGCCGUCGUACUGCAGCUGGAGGAGGUCCUAAAGGCGCGAGGGAUCGAUCCAUUGACGGU